Molecule: non-coding RNA, 30 nt
Filed under: Rattus norvegicus (Norway rat)
Lineage: Eukaryota; Metazoa; Chordata; Mammalia; Rodentia; Muridae
Source: RNAcentral
UGCCUAUUUCACUGAAAAGACUACCUUGCA